AUUGAACGCUGGCGGCAGGCCUAACACAUGCAAGUCGAGCGGUAGCACAGAGAGCUUGCUCUCGGGUGACGAGCGGCGGACGGGUGAGUAAUGUCUGGGAAACUGCCUGAUGGAGGGGGAUAACUACUGGAAACGGUAGCUAAUACCGCAUAAUGUCGCAAGACCAAAGUGGGGGACCUUCGGGCCUCAUGCCAUCAGAUGUGCCCAGAUGGGAUUAGCUAGUAGGUGGGGUAACGGCUCACCUAGGCGACGAUCCCUAGCUGGUCUGAGAGGAUGACCAGCCACACUGGAACUGAGACACGGUCCAGACUCCUACGGGAGGCAGCAGUGGGGAAUAUUGCACAAUGGGCGCAAGCCUGAUGCAGCCAUGCCGCGUGUGUGAAGAAGGCCUUCGGGUUGUAAAGCACUUUCAGCGGGGAGGAAGGCGUUAAGGUUAAUAACCUUGGCGAUUGACGUUACCCGCAGAAGAAGCACCGGCUAACUCCGUGCCAGCAGCCGCGGUAAUACGGAGGGUGCAAGCGUUAAUCGGAAUUACUGGGCGUAAAGCGCACGCAGGCGGUCUGUCAAGUCGGAUGUGAAAUCCCCGGGCUCAACCUGGGAACUGCAUUCGAAACUGGCAGGCUAGAGUCUUGUAGAGGGGGGUAGAAUUCCAGGUGUAGCGGUGAAAUGCGUAGAGAUCUGGAGGAAUACCGGUGGCGAAGGCGGCCCCCUGGACAAAGACUGACGCUCAGGUGCGAAAGCGUGGGGAGCAAACAGGAUUAGAUACCCUGGUAGUCCACGCCGUAAACGAUGUCGAUUUGGAGGUUGUGCCCUUGAGGCGUGGCUUCCGGAGCUAACGCGUUAAAUCGACCGCCUGGGGAGUACGGCCGCAAGGUUAAAACUCAAAUGAAUUGACGGGGGCCCGCACAAGCGGUGGAGCAUGUGGUUUAAUUCGAUGCAACGCGAAGAACCUUACCUGGUCUUGACAUCCACAGAACUUUCCAGAGAUGGAUUGGUGCCUUCGGGAACUGUGAGACAGGUGCUGCAUGGCUGUCGUCAGCUCGUGUUGUGAAAUGUUGGGUUAAGUCCCGCAACGAGCGCAACCCUUAUCCUUUGUUGCCAGCGGUUAGGCCGGGAACUCAAAGGAGACUGCCAGUGAUAAACUGGAGGAAGGUGGGGAUGACGUCAAGUCAUCAUGGCCCUUACGACCAGGGCUACACACGUGCUACAAUGGCAUAUACAAAGAGAAGCGACCUCGCGAGAGCAAGCGGACCUCAUAAAGUAUGUCGUAGUCCGGAUUGGAGUCUGCAACUCGACUCCAUGAAGUCGGAAUCGCUAGUAAUCGUAGAUCAGAAUGCUACGGUGAAUACGUUCCCGGGCCUUGUACACACCGCCCGUCACACCAUGGGAGUGGGUUGCAAAAGAAGUAGGUAGCUUAACCUUCGGGAGGGCGCUUACCACUUUGUGAUUCAUGACUGGGGUGA
Molecule: ribosomal RNA, 1463 nt
Filed under: uncultured Klebsiella sp.
Lineage: Bacteria; Pseudomonadati; Pseudomonadota; Gammaproteobacteria; Enterobacterales; Enterobacteriaceae
Description: bacterial SSU rRNA
Rfam family: Bacterial small subunit ribosomal RNA
Source: RNAcentral